AAGUCCAAGGCGUUUGGGAAUAAUGGACGCGAGGGAACUCAGCCAAAUAGCUCCGUAUCUUAGGUAGAAGGAGUGCCUAUUCCGAGAGGGAAUAGGUCGCAGUGGCAAGGGGACCCCGACUGUUUACCAAAAACACAGAUCGCUGCUAGUCGGAAACGAUGUGUAUAGCGGUCGAAACCUGCCCAGUGUCGGUACCUGAAAGUCUCGUACAAGGGAAAGAAGGGCCGAUAAACGGCGGGGGUAACUAUGACCCUCUUAAGGUAGCGUAAUACCUAGCCGCUUAAUUGGCGGCUUGCAUGAAGGUUCAACGUGAGUCCCACUGUCCCCGCGUUCAGCCCCGUGAAAUUGAUGCACUGGUGCACAAUCCAGUCUCUCCCACAUGAAAGCGAAGUCCCCGUGGAGCUUUACUGCAGCCUGUGGCUGCGAUGCGGUUAUUAUUGCGUAGAGUAGGAAGGAGCUGUUAAUGCCUGGGUUCUGGCUCAGGUGGAGGCACCGCUGAAACACUUCCCUUUAAUAACUGCGUCGCUAACCUCGAAAGAGGGACACCUAUUGGUGGGCAGUUUGGGUGGGGCGCCACGCCCCUGAGAAUUUAACAGGGGCCCCCAAUGGUUAGCUCAGGAGGGUCAGUAAUCCUCCGUAGAGUGUAAGGGCAAAAGCUAGCUUGACUGUGUUCCGGACAAUAAGGAACGCAGAUGCGAAAGCAGGGCCUAACGAACCACCCUGUCCCCCUUUAGUGGGGGCGGGUGAUAAGAGAGAAGUUACCCCAGGGAUAACUGAGUUGUCCUCGGCAAGAGUUCAUAUCGACCCGAGGGUUUGCUACUUCGAUGUCGUCUGUUCCUAUCCUGGUGCUGAACAAGGUGCCAAGGGUGGGGCUGUUCGCCCAUUAAAAGGGAUCCUGAGAUGGGUUCACUACGUCGCGAGACAGUAGGGUUGCUUCUCUGUGGGAGUGCUCGAUGUCUGAAGGGAAGGAGCCUUUAGUACGAGAGGAACGGGGGUUCGUGACCUCUGGUUUACCGGUUGUCUGGUAAGGCAUUUGCCGGGUAGCCACGUCAUACGCGAAUAAAAGCUGAAAGCAUCUAAGCUUGAAGUCGCCCCUGAAAAUAGACAUCGUUAUUAGGUCUCUCCUAAAAGAGGAGUUUGAUAGAACUGGGAUAUAAGUACCGAGCUUCGGCGAGGUAUUCAGUCCACAGUUACUAAUAGACCGAAUGCACAAUC
RNAcentral lists this ribosomal RNA (1215 nucleotides) under soil metagenome. RNAcentral's name for it is "bacterial LSU rRNA". It matches the Rfam family "Archaeal large subunit ribosomal RNA", at positions 1772 to 2987 of the family's 2987-position model. The record is from RNAcentral.